CCAAUAGCGUAUAUUAAAGUUGUUGCAGUUAAAAAGCUCGUAGUUGAAUUUCGAGAUCGGCUUACUGGUCGUGCUUUUGUACGUACUGGUAUAAUCGGUUUCUCCUUUCUGACGAACUUUAAUGCCAUUAAUUUGGUGUUUUAGGGAAUCAGGACUGUUACUUUGAAAAAAUUAGAGUGUUUAAAGCAGGCUCACGCUUGAAUACAUUAGCAUGGAAUAA
RNAcentral lists this ribosomal RNA (220 nucleotides) under uncultured Glomus. RNAcentral describes it as "partial small subunit ribosomal RNA". It matches the Rfam family "Eukaryotic small subunit ribosomal RNA", at positions 591 to 817 of the family's 1831-position model. Lineage: Eukaryota; Fungi; Glomeromycota; Glomeromycetes; Glomerales; Glomeraceae. The record is from RNAcentral.